This 279-nucleotide ribosomal RNA is filed under the name uncultured bacterium. Its description in RNAcentral is "partial 16S ribosomal RNA". It matches the Rfam family "Bacterial small subunit ribosomal RNA", at positions 506 to 784 of the family's 1533-position model. The record is from RNAcentral.
UGCUAGCAGCCGCGGUAAUACGGAGGGUGCAAGCGUUAAUAGGAAUUACUGGGCGUAAAGCGCGCGUAGGCGGUUUAGUAAGUCGGAUGUGAAAGCCCAGGGCUCAACCCUGGAAUUGCAUUCGAUACUGCUUGACUAGAGUAUGGUAGAGGGAAGUGGAAUUUCCGGUGUAGCGGUGAAAUGCGUAGAUAUCGGAAGGAACACCAGUGGCGAAGGCGACUUCCUGGGCCAAUACUGACGCUGAGGUGCGAAAGCGUGGGUAGCGAACAGGAUUAGAUA